RNAcentral lists this long non-coding RNA (199 nucleotides) under Citrus sinensis (sweet orange). Its description in RNAcentral is "long non-coding RNA (CSIN_LNC000843)". Lineage: Eukaryota; Viridiplantae; Streptophyta; Magnoliopsida; Sapindales; Rutaceae. The record is from RNAcentral.
GAAAAUUAGGCAAUUGGGGUCGGGAUAAAAGCUUCAACUUGUGCAAAGCCCGACAGCGGUGGUGGCUUGUGUUUACAUACAGUUGACGACAAUGAAUAAAGAUGCUUGUGUAAGACAAAUCCAGUGGCUUCUGGUUGGUGGUGACGAUUGGGAAUUAAAGGGGAUGUAGCAACGAACAAACCCAAGUGGUGGUAAGCAC